This 48-nucleotide non-coding RNA is filed under the name Trichobilharzia regenti. Lineage: Eukaryota; Metazoa; Platyhelminthes; Trematoda; Strigeidida; Schistosomatidae. The record is from RNAcentral.
AUCCAUCUGAUGAGUCCCCAACAGAACGAAAUGCACGUUAUCCUGGAU